CGGAAUAGCGUGGGGAAAGGUGCCGAACGGCACAAUAGGGAAUCCGGAAAUCCGGAGCGGUCCCGCCACUGUAAUGGGGAGCCCUCACCAGCAUGCCACUGAAUACAGCUUUCGGGAAGGCGGUGAGAGGCGAUGAGCCUAAGCCAGGAUACCUGCCUUUCUCAACAAUCACCG
This 174-nucleotide non-coding RNA is filed under the name Schwartzia succinivorans. RNAcentral also lists the same sequence under 1 other name. Lineage: Bacteria; Bacillati; Bacillota; Negativicutes; Selenomonadales; Selenomonadaceae. The record is from RNAcentral.